UGCCCUAGUAACGGCGAGUGAAGCGGCAACAGCUCAAAUUUGAAAUCUGGCUCUCGGGCCCGAGUUGUAAUUUGUAGAGGAUACUUUUGAUGCGGUGCCUUCCGAGUUCCCUGGAACGGGACGCCAUAGAGGGUGAGAGCCCCGUCUGGUUGGAUGCCAAAUCUCUGUAAAGUUCCUUCAACGAGUCGAGUAGUUUGGGAAUGCUGCUCUAAAUGGGAGGUAUAUGUCUUCUAAAGCUAAAUACCGGCCAGAGACCGAUAGCGCACAAGUAGAGUGAUCGAAAGAUGAAAAGCACUUUGAAAAGAGAGUUAAAAAGUACGUGAAAUUGUUGAAAGGGAAGCGUUUAUGACCAGACUUGGGCUUGGUUAAUCAUCUGGGGUUCUCCCCAGUGCACUUUUCCAGUCCAGGCCAGCAUCAGUUUUCCCCGGGGGAUAAAGGCGGCGGGAAUGUGGCUCUCUUCGGGGAGUGUUAUAGCCCGUCGUGUAAUACCCUGGGGGGGACUGAGGUUCGCGCAUCUGCAAGGAUGCUGGCGUAAUGGUCAUCAACGACCCGUCUUGAAACACGGACCAAGGAGUCGUCUUCGUAUGCGAGUGUUCGGGUGUCAAACCCCUACGCGUAAUGAAAGUGAACGCAGGUGAGAGCUUCGGCGCAUCAUCGACCGAUCCUGAUGUUCUCGGAUGGAUUUGAGUAAGAGCAUACGGGGCCGGACCCGAAAGAAGGUGAACUAUGCCUGUAUAGGGUGAAGCCAGAGGAAACUCUGGUGGAGGCUCGCAGCGGUUCUGACGUGCAAAUCGAUCGUCAAAUAUGGGCAUG
Molecule: ribosomal RNA, 813 nt
Filed under: Fusarium oxysporum
Lineage: Eukaryota; Fungi; Ascomycota; Sordariomycetes; Hypocreales; Nectriaceae
Description: eukaryotic LSU rRNA
Rfam family: Eukaryotic large subunit ribosomal RNA
Source: RNAcentral